Molecule: unclassified non-coding RNA, 317 nt
Filed under: fungal sp.
Lineage: Eukaryota; Fungi
Description: partial internal transcribed spacer region
Rfam family: Eukaryotic small subunit ribosomal RNA (bases 1-46)
Source: RNAcentral
AAGUCGUAACAAGGUUUCCGUAGGUGAACCUGCGGAAGGAUCAUUAACACGUAUCCAACGUUAAACAACCCUGUGAACUUUCAGCCUGCUCUUGUAACCAUGAGGAACAGCAAUCCCGGUAAAUCAUUGCAAACAGUUUUGAUUCGGGACCUCUGUCCAAAAGGAGUUACAAUUGAGCAGGUCGAUCACCGACCGGCAGACAUGUCACAGGGUCACCACGCCCCUUAAUCACCCCAAUUUGAAAUUGCUCCUACCUGGUGGUAACGCACUGGGUCAAAAAAACCGAACAACUGUUAACAAUGGAUAUCUUGGUUCUC